UACGGAGGGUGCGAACGUUAAUCGGAAUCACUGGGCGUAAAGCGCGCGUAGGCGGUCUGUUAAGUGGGAUGUGAAAUCCCCGGGCUUAACCUGGGAAUUGCAUCUCAAACUGGCCGACUAGAGUACGGUAGAGGGAGGUAGAAUUUCCUGUGUAGCGGUGAAAUGCGUAGAUAUAGGAAGGAAUACCAGUGGCGAAGGCGGCCUCCUGGAUCGAUACUGACGCUGAGGCGCGAAAGCGUGGGGAGCAAACAGG
RNAcentral lists this ribosomal RNA (253 nucleotides) under uncultured bacterium. Its description in RNAcentral is "partial 16S ribosomal RNA". It matches the Rfam family "Bacterial small subunit ribosomal RNA", at positions 524 to 776 of the family's 1533-position model. The record is from RNAcentral.